AUGCUGUUUUUAUGACUAUAGCUCUGUAGUAUAUUUUGAGAUAUAGUAAUACCCACAGGGGUUAAGCUGCAGCACCUUAGCACCAAGCUAACACUAACUGGGGCAGCCUUCCCAUCCCAGGUGGCCCUUUUAAUGGCCAGCUACAGGU
Molecule: small nucleolar RNA, 148 nt
Organism: Nannospalax galili (Upper Galilee mountains blind mole rat)
Lineage: Eukaryota; Metazoa; Chordata; Mammalia; Rodentia; Spalacidae
Source: Ensembl